Molecule: ribosomal RNA, 497 nt
Filed under: uncultured bacterium
Lineage: Bacteria
Description: partial 16S ribosomal RNA
Rfam family: Bacterial small subunit ribosomal RNA
Source: RNAcentral
GAUGAACGCUGGCGGCGUGCCUAAUACAUGCAAGUCGAGCGAACGGACGAGAAGCUUGCUUCUCUGAUGUUAGCGGCGGACGGGUGAGUAACACGUGGAUAACCUACCUAUAAGACUGGGAUAACUUCGGAAAACCGGAGCUAAUACCGGAUAAUAUUUUGAACCGCAUGGUUCAAAAGUGAAAGACGGUCUUGCUGCCACUUAUAGAUGGAUCCGCGCUGCAUUAGCUAGUUGGUAAGGUAACGGCUUACCAAGGCAACGAUGCAUAGCCGACCUGAGAGGGUGAUCGGCCACACUGGAACUGAGACACGGUCCAGACUCCUACGGGAGGCAGCAGUAGGGAAUCUUCCGCAAUGGGCGAAAGCCUGACGGAGCAACGCCGCGUGAGUGAUGAAGGUCUUCGGAUCGUAAAACUCUGUUAUUAGGGAAGAACAUAUGUGUAAGUAACUGUGCACAUCUUGACGGUACCUAAUCAGAAAGCCACGGCUAACUACGUG